Molecule: ribosomal RNA, 468 nt
Filed under: uncultured bacterium
Lineage: Bacteria
Description: partial 16S ribosomal RNA
Rfam family: Bacterial small subunit ribosomal RNA
Source: RNAcentral
GACGAACGCUGGCGGCGUGCUUAACACAUGCAAGUCGAACGGAAAGGCCCUGCUUUUGUGGGGUGCUCGAGUGGCGAACGGGUGAGUAACACGUGAGUAACCUGCCCUUGACUUUGGGAUAACUUCAGGAAACUGGGGCUAAUACCGGAUAGGAGCUCCUGCUGCAUGGUGGGGGUUGGAAAGUUUCGGCGGUUGGGGAUGGACUCGCGGCUUAUCAGCUUGUUGGUGGGGUAGUGGCUUACCAAGGCUUUGACGGGUAGCCGGCCUGAGAGGGUGACCGGCCACAUUGGGACUGAGAUACGGCCCAGACUCCUACGGGAGGCAGCAGUGGGGAAUAUUGCACAAUGGGCGGAAGCCUGAUGCAGCAACGCCGCGUGCGGGAUGACGGCCUUCGGGUUGUAAACCGCUUUCGCCUGUGCCGAAGCGUGAGUGACGGUAAUGGGUAAAGAAGCACCGACUAACUACGUG